RNAcentral lists this transfer RNA (75 nucleotides) under Chloroflexota bacterium. RNAcentral describes it as "Chloroflexi bacterium (groundwater metagenome) tRNA-Met". It matches the Rfam family "tRNA". From Rfam's summary of the family: Transfer RNA (tRNA) molecules are approximately 80 nucleotides in length. Their secondary structure includes four short double-helical elements and three loops (D, anti-codon, and T loops). The record is from RNAcentral. Lineage: Bacteria; Bacillati; Chloroflexota. RNAcentral also lists the same sequence under 7 other names.
CGCGGGGUGGAGCAGUGGUAGCUCGUCGGGCUCAUAACCCGAAGGUCGUUGGUUCGAAUCCAACCCCCGCUACCA